UUUGAUCCCUGGCUCAGAUUGAACGCUGGGCCGGCAGUGCCUUACACAUGCAAGUCGAACGGUAACGGGCCUUCGGGUGCCGACGAGUGGCGAACGGGUGAGUAAUGCAUCGGAACGUACCUUCAGUGGGGGAUAACGUAGCGAAAGUUACGCUAAUACCGCAUAUUCUGUGAGCAGGAAAGCAGGGGAUCGCAAGACCUUGCGCUGAUUGAGCGGCCGAUGUCAGAUUAGCUAGUUGGUGAGGUAAAGGCUCACCAAGGCGACGAUCUGUAGCGGGGUCUGAGAGGAUGAUCCGCCACACUGGAACUGAGACACGGUCCAGACUCCUACGGGAGGCAGCAGUGGGGAAUUUUGGACAAUGGGGGCAACCCUGAUCCAGCCAUGCCGCGUGAGUGAAGAAGGCCUUCGGGUUGUAAAGCUCUUUCGGCCGGGAAGAAAUCGCAUGGGUUAAUACCCUGUGCGGAUGACGGUACCGGCAUAAGAAGCACCGGCUAACUACGUG
Molecule: ribosomal RNA, 502 nt
Filed under: uncultured bacterium
Lineage: Bacteria
Description: bacterial SSU rRNA
Rfam family: Bacterial small subunit ribosomal RNA
Source: RNAcentral